Molecule: long non-coding RNA, 210 nt
Filed under: Pan troglodytes (chimpanzee)
Lineage: Eukaryota; Metazoa; Chordata; Mammalia; Primates; Hominidae
Description: long non-coding RNA NONPTRT013174
Source: RNAcentral
GAAGACACACUCAGCCACCCACCUCAUGGGACUGCUAUGAGAAUGACUGAAAUAAUUAAUUGUGAAGAGCUUUGUGCCCCUGGGAGUAAGAACACUAUUCUUUUUCCCAUUGGGUUCGACCAACUUCAUCCGACUUGAUCAAAUCCGAAGGAAAGUUCCAAAUUAUGGGGAACAAGGCUACUGAAGUGGCUAAAUUCUCAUAGACACACA